Molecule: long non-coding RNA, 3138 nt
Organism: Capsicum annuum
Lineage: Eukaryota; Viridiplantae; Streptophyta; Magnoliopsida; Solanales; Solanaceae
Exons: 2
Source: RefSeq, a predicted model, not a curated record
AAUUAUGCUGAGGCAGUGUUCUUUGAGAGUGGAUAAAAAGGAAAAGGUGCCACUUCAAAUGAAAUAGAGGGAGUAAUAUAACUUUCUAACAUUGCCACAUAAAACACAAAUGCCAUAAAAAAUUUAUCAACAAUCAAGUGUGUGUCACAUUUAUGGUACUAGGUUUUGUCUUUUCAUCAAAUGGUUAAAUUUUGUUUUUGUUGUGUUCACACUGAAGGAAAACAAUACAAAAGGAGAGCAUGGGAUAACACAAAAAGUAAGAAGAAAAAAAAGAGAAUGGCCAUAUUUAUCUCACAUUUUCUCAUUUGGCAUCUGGAGGUGGAGGAAGUGGAGGUUUCGUUGGCGGAGGAGGAGGCAGAGCAUUGUAUACUGGUGCCGGAAAUUCAACUAAUAAAGAUCACAAUAUUCUAUCAGCUGAACAACUUGUGCUUGAUCUAAGCAAUCCCGAUCUUCACGAAACGCUCUCCUAGACCUUCCUAAGAGAGAGCAAGGGAGAGUGAGAGAAGAUAAUGAAGAGGGUCUACUCGACAAUCUAAAACAAAAAUUCCAUAGUCCCAUUAACAUUUUGGAUCAAUUGAUGCAGCCACCUCGUCGUUAUUAAAUCCUCCUUAUAUACACACGAAAAAACCACACAUGGUCAUAAAAAAUAACAAGGUCUAAUGACAAGGAAUGCUCUGUGAUCACAAAUCGAGAUGCCCAGGAGUGAGGAGUAAGGAGAAACCUUAUGGACAAGAAAAAUACAACAUAAAUGUGAAUCUUAUAGAGGAUAUAUUGUUAGAAGAGAUCGAUAAUAUUGCACGUCUACCUAUAUAAACAAACUAGGUAAAGCGUCACAGUAGACUUUUUAGAAAUGACUGGAGAUGGCAGUGAGGGAUUUGCUGUUGAUUGUUGCAAUACACGUGCUCUUCAAUUCAUCUUUCCCUCCUAGUCCUCCGCCUCUCACCUCAACCCUCAAUGAUGAAAAAGAAAAGGUGAAUUGGAGUAUAAGAAUAUCGCAACAAACAGAAGCAAAUCCCUCACUGCCUUCUCGAGGCAUUUCUAAUAGGACAACUGUGACGCUUUAUCCAGUCAGUGUAUAGAGGUAGAUCUCCAAUAUUAUCUAUCUCACCCAACAAGACAUCCUUGGUAAGAUUGCCCUCUAUGUUGUGAUUAGCUAGUCCCUAUAACUUCUCCCCCUCCUCCCUCCCAGGCUUUUCUUUUAGUGAUCAUGAAGCUUUCCUAUUUCGGCAUUUGACCAUUGUUAAUUUUUUCUGAUCAUGUGUGAUUUUUUCACGUGUAUUUCUAGGAGGAUCCAACGAUCAUGAUGUGGCUGCAGCAAUUUCCCUGUAAUGUUAAUGGCACUAGUAUACUGGUUUUAGUAAGUGUAUAAUUUACUUCUUCACCAACAACUAAACAACCCGUAAGUACUUUAAUUUCCUUUCAUCCUCUCUUUUGUUUUUGGUAUUUUGAAUUUGGGGUUGAGCUGGGGUGGGGUGCGGGAGAUUUUGAUCUCUCUUUGAAUUUUUUUAUAUUGGUAAUAUAAUGAUCUUUUGAUAUUGCUAUAGUAGUUUAACUAAGGGAACAAUAGAGCUCUUGCAAAAGCAUUUUGCAAGAUUCUUUGUGGGUUCAGUACGUGACAAAGCUAAACAACAUUGGAGAUCCCAAGGAUGAAGAAGGUAUAGGCAAUGGGGACAUGAGUGAUAUCACCAAUACUCUUCUCACUUAGUACUCAAAACUUCUUUAUGGAAGACUUUUUAAAAGCUAAAUAUUGUUGUAGAUCUCAUCCCACUUUGAAAAAGUGGUGUGUUCUAGUAACUCUCAAGCAUGGAAAUUUCUUUUGGCUGCUAGAGAUAAAGCUGAGAACAAUAUCAUCUGGCAGAUCAAUGUUUAAGAUUGUAGUUUCUGGUGUGACAACUGGUCCACUAGAGGUACCCUUGUGAAUUUAAUAUCAAAGCCGAAGUCAAGGAUUUCCUAAUCAUGAACAAUUGGAAUAUUGAUAAACUCACAGAACUAUUUCCAGAAUUCACUGUCCAGCAGAAAUCUGCAAUAAUAGCCUUUCUGUUGAUACUCUUUGGAAUCUCACUUCAGCUUGGAACUUGAUCAGACAAUCCAAGGAAAAGAAUUGGAGCUAAGUCAGGUAUGGCAUAAAUUUCUUCACUAUAAAAUUUCUUUCUUUAUUGGAGAUUAAUUUUCUGAAGAUUACCAUUUAAGAUAUCAUUAUCAUUUAUGGUAAUAACAAUAGAAUCCCUACAUGUUUUUGUUGUGCUACCAAUGAGACUCUUAAACAUAUUUUCUUGUUGAGGGUCCUGCUUAACAGGUAUGGAAAUAUUUUGGAGGCCCGUUAGGAAUUACACAUAAUUACUCUGUCCACCUAUAAGAAUCAUGAGAACCUGGAGGAACAUGAGAGACUAUAACAAUGUGCAUAAAUUCAACCCUCAGAUUCUUCCUAUAUUUGCAUUAAUUGGGAGAUAUGGAAAAUUAAGGCAUCAUGUGAAUAUGGAGCUCAAAAAGUAUUCUACACAAGGAAAAUGGAGAAUUGUAUAGCUGGCCACAGUUCUGUCAAAUAUUGGAAAGACUCAGGCCUGUUGUCAUCUGUCAGCAAAUGCAAUGGCUGUCAAGUGCAGGAAGUGGAGGGGUUGAGAGAAAUGUCUGUAAAGUUAGUUAUGGCAUUCUCUAUUCCUGUCAAGUGCCACAUGAACAAUUAGGCUGAAGCCAUGGCUGCUAAGUAAGGAAUUGAUUGGCGCAAAAAACUACAACAUCAACAACGUAGACGUGGAUCAAUGAUUAUUACUAAUAUGAUCAGAAAACAGAGUACGGGCAAUAUUAAUCUCAACAAGAUCAUCUAUUAUAUUCUUCACAGUAUCAAGGACAAAGAUAUCCAAGUCCAACAUUGUUACAUGGAGGCUAAUCAUGCGGCAUCUAGUUGAAAUAGGACCACUACUCUUUUCAACAACUUCCAAAGAAUUGAAGGGCUCUUUUUAACUUGAUAAAAUUCAAUUACCUAGUAUUAGAAUAAGAUAUGACAAGGCACAUUUUCUUGUAAGUUAGUAACUCUAGAUGUUUGACAGGAAGAGAAUACAUGUUGUUAUGAUUGGACAGAAUAAGAAAUACCACAAAGCAAAAGAAAAUAAGAAGAAGACACAUAGAUUUACGUGGAAA